GGAUUAGAUACCCUGGUAGUCCACGCCGUAAACGAUGAUCACUAGGUGUGGGGAGUUGAACCUUUCCGUGCCGGAGUUAACACAAUAAGUGAUCCACCUGGGGAGUACGACCGCAAGGUUGAAACUCAAAGGAAUUGACGGGGGCCCGCACAAGCAGUGGAGUAUGUGGUUUAAUUCGAAGCAACGCGAAGAACCUUACCAGGUCUUGACAUCGAGUGACGAUCCCAGAGAUGGGAUUUCCCUUCGGGGCACGAAGACAGGUGGUGCAUGGUUGUCGUCAGCUCGUGUCGUGAGAUGUUGGGUUAAGUCCCGCAACGAGCGCAACCCUUACUAUUAGUUGCUACGCAAGAGCACUCUAAUAGGACUGCCGUUGAUAAAACGGAGGAAGGUGGGGAUGACGUCAAAUCAUCAUGCCCUUUAUGACCUGGGCUACACACGUACUACAAUGGCGUUUAACAAAGAGAAGCGAAACCGCGAGGUUGAGCAAAUCCCCAAAAAACGUCUCAGUUCAGAUUGCAGGCUGCAACUCGCCUGCAUGAAGUCGGAAUUGCUAGUAAUCGUAGGUCAGCAUACUACGGUGAAUACGUUCCCGGGCCUUGUACACACCGCCCGUCAAACCAUGAGAGUUGGCAACACCCGAAGCCGGUAGUCUAACCGCAAGGAGGACGCCGUCGAAGGUGGGGUCGAUGAUUAGGGUUAAGUCGUAACAAGGUAGCCGUAUCGGAAGGUGCGGCUG
This 736-nucleotide ribosomal RNA is filed under the name gut metagenome. RNAcentral describes it as "bacterial SSU rRNA". It matches the Rfam family "Bacterial small subunit ribosomal RNA", at positions 775 to 1520 of the family's 1533-position model. The record is from RNAcentral.